Molecule: ribosomal RNA, 700 nt
Filed under: uncultured bacterium
Lineage: Bacteria
Description: bacterial SSU rRNA
Rfam family: Bacterial small subunit ribosomal RNA
Source: RNAcentral
AGAGUUUGAUCCUGGCUCAGAAUGAACGUUGGCGGCGUGGAUUAGGCAUGCAAGUCGUGCGAGAAUCUUCCUUCGGGAAGUGGACAGCGGCGAAAGGGAGAGUAAUACGUAGAAAUCUACCUUCAAGCCCGGGAUAGCGUCGGGAAACUGGCGGUAAUACCGGAUAAUAUCUCCGGAUCAAAGGUGUGAUUCCGCUUGAAGAUGAGUCUACGUCCUAUUAGCUAGUUGGCGGGGUAAUGGCCCACCAAGGCAACGAUGGGUAGCGGGUGUGAGAGCAUGAUCCGCCUCACUGGGACUGAGACACUGCCCAGACACCUACGGGUGGCUGCAGUCGAGAAUCUUUGUCAAUGGACGAAAGUCUGAACAAGCGACGCCGCGUGCGGGAUGAAGGCCUUCGGGUUGUAAACCGCUGUCGUAGGGGAACAAAUGUAUGGGGGUUCUCUCCUUUACUUGAGUGAUCCUAGGAGGAAGGACGGGCUAAGUUCGUGCCAGCAGCCGCGGUAAGACGAACCGUCCAAACGUUAUUCGGUAUCACUGGGCUUAAAGAGUUCGUAGGCGGCCAUGCAGGUCAGGUGUGAAAUCCCACAGCUCAACUGUGGAACUGCGCUUGAAACCGCAUGGCUUGAGGGAGAUAGAGGUGAGCGGAACAGAUGGUGGAGCGGUGAAAUGCGUUGAUAUCAUCUGGAACACCGGUGGCGAA